Molecule: unclassified non-coding RNA, 1077 nt
Filed under: leaf metagenome
Description: partial contains internal transcribed spacer 1, 5.8S ribosomal RNA, internal transcribed spacer 2, and large subunit ribosomal RNA
Rfam family: Eukaryotic large subunit ribosomal RNA (bases 492-1077)
Source: RNAcentral
UUACUGAGUUUACGCUCUACAACCCUUUGUGAACAUACCUAUAACUGUUGCUUCGGCGGGUAGGGUCUCCGUGACCCUCCCGGCCUCCCGCCCCCGGGCGGGUCGGCGCCCGCCGGAGGAUAACCAAACUCUGAUUUAACGACGUUUCUUCUGAGUGGUACAAGCAAAUAAUCAAAACUUUUAACAACGGGAUCUCUUGGUUCUGGCAUCGAUGAAGAACGCAGCGAAAUGCGAUAAGUAAUGUGAAUUGCAGAAUUCAGUGAAUCAUCGAAUCUUUGAACGCACAUUGCGCCCGCCAGCAUUCUGGCGGGCAUGCCUGUUCGAGCGUCAUUUCAACCCUCAAGCUCUGCUUGGUGUUGGGGCCCUACAGCUGAUGUAGGCCCUCAAAGGUAGUGGCGGACCCUCCCGGAGCCUCCUUUGCGUAGUAACUUUACGUCUCGCACUGGGAUCCGGAGGGACUCUUGCCGUAAAACCCCCAAUUUUCCAAAGGUUGACCUCGGAUCAGGUAGGAAUACCCGCUGAACUUAAGCAUAUCAAUAAGCGGAGGAAAAGAAACCAACAGGGAUUGCCUCAGUAACGGCGAGUGAAGCGGCAACAGCUCAAAUUUGAAAUCUGGCCCUAGGCCCGAGUUGUAAUUUGCAGAGGAUGCUUUUGGUGCGGUGCCUUCCAAGUUCCCUAGAACGGGACGCCAGAGAGGGUGAGAGCCCCGUACAGUUGGACACCAAGCCUUUGUAAAGCUCCUUCGACGAGUCGAGUAGUUUGGGAAUGCUGCUCAAAAUGGGAGGUAUAUUUCUUCUAAAGCUAAAUACCGGCCAGAGACCGAUAGCGCACAAGUAGAGUGAUCGAAAGAUGAAAAGCACUUUGAAAAGAGGGUUAAACAGCACGUGAAAUUGUUAAAAGGGAAGCGCUUGUGACCAGACUUGCGUCCGGUGAAUCACCCAGCUCUCGCGGCUGGGGCACUUCGCCGGCUCAGGCCAGCAUCAGCUCGCUGUCGGGGACAAAAGCUUCAGGAACGUAGCUCUCUUCGGGGAGUGUUAUAGCCUGUUGCAUAAUACCCUUCGGCGGGCUGAGGUACGC